This 273-nucleotide long non-coding RNA is filed under the name Olea europaea subsp. europaea. Lineage: Eukaryota; Viridiplantae; Streptophyta; Magnoliopsida; Lamiales; Oleaceae. The record is from RNAcentral.
AUGAUGUUAGGGAAGCUUACCUAAAAAGAGUUCAUCAGCGGAGCUAACGGAGGGCAAGAACGAAUAUGAUAAGAAGAGAAGCCAUAGAAUGCAAGCUAAUGGAUUUGCAGCGGCCAUGGGUUCGAGGAUUAUGGUCGAAGUGAACUGAAAUUACGAAAAAUUGAUGCGGGUAUAUACGUUGCUUCGGCAAUUAAAAUUUAUUAGGGCUGCUCUCUCUAAAAUUAAAAUCAACAAUUUAGGCAUUUGAUUCUUAGCGCAUUCUUUAACUCCGUA